UGCCCAGUAACUCCUAUCCCUACCUCCACGCGGUACCGGCCGGAAACUAUGAGCAACCUUAGGGAAGA
Non-coding RNA from Aedes albopictus (Asian tiger mosquito), 68 nucleotides. The record is from Rfam. Lineage: Eukaryota; Metazoa; Arthropoda; Insecta; Diptera; Culicidae.